This 50-nucleotide transfer RNA is filed under the name Enterovibrio norvegicus. RNAcentral describes it as "tRNA-Asp". Lineage: Bacteria; Pseudomonadati; Pseudomonadota; Gammaproteobacteria; Vibrionales; Vibrionaceae. The record is from RNAcentral.
GCGGUAGUUCAGUUGGUUAGAAUACCGGCCUGUCACGCCGGGGGUCGCGG